UGGCAGCUAGAGUGUUUUCGACGAGCCUGAGUUGUCUUCCGAAGUUCACCUGCGCCGAUGUGGUGAAGAGUGUGGAGAUGCAUUCGUCCACUAAAGGAAACAAAUUGGACAAGGGAUAUAAAUUCUUCCACGAAGAGUUUAUCCACAAUUACCAAGAUAUCACUGGAUGCAGAAAGUGCCAACCUGAAAGCUUUCUCCUGCAGUUGUGCGGCUGGUAAAGGAUUCUGCAAUCACAUAGUUGCCAUCCUGUACCAGACCGCACAUUAUUCACAGCUGGGUCUGCAGGCUGUUCCACCCCCCCUGGCCUGCACAAGUGGCUUGCAAAGAUGGCACAGACCAAGAACACAGGGAAUCCAUCCUGAACCGAUUAGUGAGCUGGUGGUGCAAAAGCCCAAAACAGUUGGCAAGGACGGUCUGAGGUCCACACUGUACAAGGCAUAUACAGGACCACUGCCAGAUCCAUAUAUGAUGGCAUCUGGAAGCAAAUUAAGCCAGGUGCAGCCCCAGCCUCUCAUGGCUGUUGUAUAGGAUGGGGUUUCUGAGAUGGAGCUGACGCCAUCUAAAUUUGGGUCUGUCCCUCGUGGAUCCCCCAUCACUGUCCACCCAAGAAGUCCAGUGACCUCCUCCUACACCACAUGGCUGCAGAAUUUCCAUCCCUUCCUGUGAUGCAGCACACUUUUCCCAGGUUGCAUUUCGUCCCGACCUUGCAUCAGUUAAUGCAUCUCCAGUCUCUUGAAGUGUCACCGCAGCUGUCCUGCGAGAUAGCAAAAGAAACUCAGCAGCAAUCCAAAUGUCCUGCGUGGACACAGCUACGGCGACCAAGGCUGAAUGCUAGUCGUUUUUGGGAUGCUUGUUGUAGUAGGGCGUGUCGUGCAGAGCUGGAGUCUGCAGCUAUUCAGACGAUCAGAGGCUCCACAAAGCAAACAGCUGCAAUGAAGCGUGGUCUACUAGUGGAGUCUGAAGUGCUGGCAAACUAUGCUGAACUGUUGCCAGUUAA
Cyprinus carpio (common carp) is the source of this 997-nucleotide long non-coding RNA. RefSeq lists it as uncharacterized. The record is from RefSeq and is a predicted model, not a curated record. NCBI's taxonomy places the organism in Eukaryota, Metazoa, Chordata, Actinopteri, Cypriniformes, Cyprinidae. The transcript has 4 exons.